Long non-coding RNA from Gadus macrocephalus (Pacific cod), 1060 nucleotides. RefSeq lists it as uncharacterized. Lineage: Eukaryota; Metazoa; Chordata; Actinopteri; Gadiformes; Gadidae. The record is from RefSeq and is a predicted model, not a curated record. The transcript has 2 exons.
UGUUGGUUUAUUAGCCUAGGACAACACCCUUACCAGAUUAUUUAUCAAAAUAGCCCUAUGUUGUUAGAAUUUACUAACUUUAUGCAAGUGUAACCCAGGUUGACAUGACACCGUUUCAUUUAAUUCGAUUUAAAUCACAACCCCUUUUAAAAGUUUGUUACUAAUCAGUAAAAAAUACAUGGCUUGUGUAUUGUCGUUCUAAAUAGUGCCACAGAAUGAGAUAAAGAUAUAUAUUGGGAAAAUAUUGCAAAUGAAUGCAUUUAAAUUAUUGAAUCUAAAUAGUAUGGUGUGAUUUGUUAAACCACCUGUAACUCAACAAAGUCGCAUGGCAACUGGUUUGGCUUAGUUAGCCAAUCAGAAAUUAGACCCGCCUCUUUUUAGCGUCAGCAGAUAGCAGUUACGGAGAUUCGUCCUUUUCGGGACGAGCCACAGAUGAGAUUCGACGAUAGACUACUGUUUUUUAAUAGUAACCUAAAGAAGAGAGAUUCCCCCGCCACUAAAAGUCCCGAAAAGCCUGUGCAGUAAAUCGAAACCCUUGGCCGGGUUUUUUUGGUUGUGUGGAUUGAGAUUGGAUCCUGGAUCGUCUGCAUCCUGCUCGCCCUCCCUGGAGGUCUGCAGCGGUGUACAGACUGGCGAGCUACCCCCCAUCGGAGCGAUCCUUUUGAACCCUGAACGGAAGGAGCAGGUGUUGUUGUGUUGUUGUUUCUGCAGUGUGGUAGGGGCAAGAGACUUUGAUUUAUUUAUUUAUUUAUUAAUCGCACGGACCAAACCGGAGUGGUUUUCCACAUGGACUGAGUGAAGCUAGAUCUUUGGAGUAAGCUGUUCUCAGUUUUGCUGUGUACUGUUUGUUUUGUUGAGACGUGUGAUUCAGGGAUGUUUUAAUUUGGUCAGAGGUGUUUUAAAUCCUGUUGUUUUGUGUCUUUGUUUUGUUUUGUUUUUGUUUUGUAAGGGAAGACUCUUUUCCAGAGUCUUUUUCUUUAUUUUUCCUGAAUAAUUAGAGGCUUCCUCGUUGCCAAGUGGCCAUAAACAAUAAAACAAAUAUAUAUAUAUAUAUUUGAAA